Molecule: small nuclear RNA, 125 nt
Organism: Cervus hanglu yarkandensis (Yarkand deer)
Lineage: Eukaryota; Metazoa; Chordata; Mammalia; Artiodactyla; Cervidae
Gene: U2
Rfam family: U2 spliceosomal RNA
About the family: U2 is a small nuclear RNA (snRNA) component of the spliceosome (involved in pre-mRNA splicing). Complementary binding between U2 snRNA (in an area lying towards the 5' end but 3' to hairpin I) and the branchpoint sequence (BPS) of the intron results the bulging out of an unpaired adenosine, on the BPS, which initiates a nucleophilic attack at the intronic 5' splice site, thus starting the first of two transesterification reactions that mediate splicing.
Source: Ensembl
ACACCUCUAUCCGAGGACAAUAUAUUAAAUGGAUUUUUGGAGCUGGGAGUUGGAACAGGAGCUUGCUCCGUCCACUCCACGCAUCGACCUGGUAUUGCAGUACCUCCAGGAACGGUGCACCCCUU